Molecule: ribosomal RNA, 301 nt
Filed under: uncultured bacterium
Lineage: Bacteria
Description: partial 16S ribosomal RNA
Rfam family: Bacterial small subunit ribosomal RNA
Source: RNAcentral
CAGCAGCCGCGGGAAUACUGAGGGUGCAAGCGUUAAUCGGAUUUACUGGGCGUAAAGGGCGCGUAGGUGGUUAUGUAAGUGAGAUGUGAAAUCCCCGGGCUCAACCUGGGAACUGCAUCUUAUACUGCGUAGCUGGAGUGCAGUAGAGGGUAGUGGAAUUUCCGGUGUAGCGGUGAAAUGCGUAGAUAUCGGAAGGAACACCAGUGGCGAAGGCGGCUACCUGGACUGACACUGACACUGAGGCGCGAAAGCGUGGGGAGCAAACAGGAUUAGAUACCCCAGUAGUCCCUGUCUCUUAUAC